CCCCUUCUGCGCCUCUAUAUAAACCCCACCCAGCCAGCCCCUAGCGCAGACGGCGAAGAGCGGUGAAGAGCUCGCCUUGGCUCUUGCUCAGCCUUGGCUGCAGCUCCUCCCGAGACCGGGGCGCCCGCAGGAGAACCUCUUCCCUGGAUCGCUCUUCAGGGAUGACGUCACCCCAGUCUUCAAGGACCACCUUCUAUGGAUGCCAAGUGCGCAAGUGCCUGUGGCGCAGUAUCUGCUCCGCACCUCUACCUCCUGGUACCACAGCCACUCCACAUCACAUGGCCAUUGGACUCCCCCCACCCAUUUCCCACUUAUCAUCGCCAGACACAUUAGCCAUUAGAGACAAUUAAGAGUGCUAAAGCCAAGGAGCAUGGAUUUCUGGAACCCACCAGCAUUCAAAGCAAGCUCUUCUGGACCCCCGAGGAUCAGGACAUCGAGGGACAAGGAAUAAAGAGGACCAGCAGUGUCCAGCUAGCCUCCGUCUGGGUUCAAACUUGAGCCAUUGCCCUAGUGAGGGGGCAAUGGUCACGACCCUUGACCUUUGCUCUGCUUGUGCCUUGAGUCUGAGCCCUUCCCUAUAUGUCUUUGCUUGUGUUCAUCUGCCAGUGAACUGGACUGCUUCCCUCCCCAAGGGGGGGGUCAUCCCUUGUGACUGACCAUGUUGUCCUAACGAUGUCCUGAGCAGAAGGAUCCCUUUGGGAACCUCUCAGGAGGGGUACCUGGGCCAGGGGCAACCAGCAUCUUGCUGGCAACUCUGUGGGUUGGGUGGGGUGCUUCUGGAAUGAGCAUGCGGCUGACCCCCAAUGGCAUGCCUCCCCCCCUCCACCCACCUCUUUGGAGAUGUCCCUUCCUUUUGGGGUAGUGGGGACAUUAGGAGCAACCCCCUAGGGUUGUUGUGAGAAUUAAAUGAACUCAAGCAGCCUGAGGCAGGGCUGGGCAGAAACCUCAGCACAUGUUUGUUGAAAAGUUUGCAGGUGGAUCUGUUCCCACCCACUCAUUUGUCUCACCUGUCUCAUCUAUUCUGCAGACUCCUGCAGCCCCUGUGCACAGGGCCCUCCUUGCAGCAGGUAGGGGCUCCUAAAGACAGCAGGCCGUCGGGGAGACUUUGAGUAAGGACGUGUGGCCAUUUCCAGAGCACUUUCUAUGUACUAUGCCCAUGAUGUUUUUACGUGUAUGGAAAGGGCAGCGUGGGUUGGGGGGUGUCUAGAGAGGGGUGAAUUGGCAUUAAUUUUCAUGAUUUUUAAAGAGGUAGGUGGGAAAGAGAACUGGGAGGGACCAGCCUCACUCAUGGGGUUGGACUUAAAUUUACUCUGAGGACAAUGAAGUAUUUUGCCACAUUGCUGGCAAGAGAAGGGGUCAGAGUUGGAUCUGGGCGCCCCUGACGCUCCCAUUGCCUGUCCUCUCCCUAGAGUCCCUUUAUUUCGUAUCAGACCUUUCACGACAUCAAAGUCUGCCUAAAAUCCCAGCUUCCCAAGGGUGGUCUUGGGGAGCUUCUGGGGGAGGGGGUGGCCCAAGUCUGGUAGCAUGUGCUGACUUCACCUCUUAGUAAUGGUGUGACCUUUUAAACAAGUCACCUAGCCUCCACGUUUCAGUUCCUUUCACACCUAAAUAGGUAUUUAAAAAAAAAAAAAAGAAAAAAGAAUAAAGAAAGAAAAGAAAAAGAAAAAAAAGAAAGAAAACAGGGAAAAAAACAAAACAGAUCAGAACAAACAAACAAACAAACAAAUGGAAACCAGCUUAUCUAUGGCACAGGGUGCUUCUGAAGACCAAAAUGUAGCUCACGAGAAAGUGCUCUGUAAAUUGCCUGAAAUUGCCAACUACUCAGUAACCAAUGGGGCAGUCCACAUUGCCCACCACCCAGCCUUAUUCUUCCACAGUACUGAGCACUCUGUAGGUGCUGGGUCUAUUUGUGCUCAAUAAAUAAUUUCCAGAAUUAAAAAAAAAAAAUAGCUCAACAAACAUUUUCUGAGAUGCUGACCAUUUGCCUGAUGCACCAGGCUACAGCUAAGGUACAAAGACAGGAGAACAGUCUCUUUUGGAAGCUAAUUGGGGCCCAUUUUACCAGCACUUUCUUUGGUCGCCUUUUAAACCAACCAGUUUUGUCCAGACGAGACAAAACACCAACUGGGCCGAUUUAGGGAAAGCCCAGCUUGGAGUGGACAAUAGCAUCCAGGCCUCUGAAAGGGGCUGAUUGGAUUAUGAGGCAAAUGGAGGCAGAAGGAAGACUUGGAAGGUGGCAAAUGCAGUGGGCGGAGACCACUCUGAGUUAAUUCAGGCUAUCAGGAGGGACCCUUUCCAUCUCAGAGUGGCCAGGGGCGUGCACUACUGCUCCUUCCAUUGUUACUGUCCAGCACACAUGGAGCCUGAAGCCACCCCUGGCCCCUCUCUUGCAAGCGUCCAUUCAUUUGAUGCUCACAACUCCCUGUCCUGACCCAGGGCCGGCCUGCCAUCUCGCGGGGAAGCAGAGGUCACCAAGCGGCUUCUUGACUGGGGCCCCCACACAUCGUGACCUCAUGACCUUCUCAGUUUUAGCACUGGACAUGUACCUGUUUCAAGCCUGCACCUCCACCUCAGUUCCCCUCUGGAUUCCUGACUCUGCUGUCCCCACCUGGAGCCCCACUUCCUCCUGUCCUCCUUCCUCGCCACUCCAGUGUCUGUCUUUCCUUCACAGCCCGGCUUCUCGAGGCCUGUCUACACUCGCUGCUUUCCUUCCUCACCUCCAAUUUCCCCUCCAACCCACUGCUUCCUGACUCGCUCUUCUCCAUCGAACGGCUCGCUCAGGUAAAGACUUUUCUGUAGCUUGACCCUUGGCACGACUCCAGCCUGGCUGGACACAAGGACACAUGCAUCUCCAUUCUUCCUGCUCCAUGGCUUCUCGGCGCUGGUUCCCUUCUAUUUCCACAUUACUGGCUUCAUGGACACAACUAUUCUCACCUUCCUUGGGAACUUGCCUUCCCAGCCCUCUCAACUUCCCAAACCUGCCUCAUGCCCCUCAGAGGGCAGAAGCACCUAGAGCACUCUGGAGUUGGCUCAUCUGGGUUCAGGUCUUAGGUAAACCACUUAACACUGGGAUUACUGUAUAGGUCAGCUCUUCCAAGCUACCUACAACAGGGUUAAUGGAAGGCCAGGUGAGUUCCAUCAGGUAAGACACAGACCUCCUAGCUAAGAGACUGGAAGUGAAGUCAAUUAGGCAUUCCUGAGCAAAUGAGAUUUGGGUCACAAUUAAAUUUUCUUGAAGUUAGGUUCCCACAGAGAAGACCAAAGGGGAGAGGAGGAGGGGAAGGGAGGGAAAAGGGGCAUUGAAGACAGCACAGGUAAGGAAAGGGGGAUUUAGAGAAUAUUAAGACCUACCCAAACUUCAUCUAGAAAAAGCUUUUCCUCUUAGGUUAGCCUGGGCUUAGAAUUAAAAAAAAAAAAAAAAAGACAGAAGGAAGCUUUUAAGUUGAUUACCCAGUGACAAAUCCCAGGAAACUUCCAUAUCAUAUCGCCCCAUUGAAGGGUUUUGAGUUCCUCUCCCGAGGUUUAACCUCUGCACCUCCUGCCCCUUCCGUACUGCCUCCCUAGACUGGUGAUUAAGUCCCGAUGGUACAAGAAGGGUCUCAGGGAAUGACCAGCCCACAGGACAGAGCCACCCCUGCCCCCGAGCUGGGUUUUCUUUCCCACUUUCUCCUUAAUGAACAUGAGGCUAAUCUUGGGCCUUGUGAAAGGAAGAGUCUGCGCAGCUAAUGAGGUAGCUGCUGGCCUCCAAUAUUCAUCUUUUAAGGAGCCCUCUUUGUCUGCGAAGGAAAAACACACUGAUUACCAUAAUGAGCUGAGCUGGUGGCUGCGUGGUGGGGGGGCCUUGGGUUCUUAAGCCACACUUUAACGUCAGCUAGAUUUCCCUCCUCACUGAAGUCUAAGCCCCUGUCCCACUGCGAGGCCCACUGAAUGGGGUUGCAACCUCAAGGUGGCUUUGUGACAAGGAGCUACAAAAGGUCCACACUGACUGCACUCACUUCUUACCCAGCCUCCUGCCAAGCUUUCUAUGGCCACCCCAGCAAUCAGCAGACUGGUUAACAGUCCUGGGGAAGGGGACUCUCCCUCCCUCCUCCCCCCCUCUCAGUGGGUUCACCAGCUGCCUAAAGGUUCUGUACCACCAUGGGCCCAAAUUAGGUCACCACCUUGUACUGGAGUUGAAGCUAGGGCACCAGGCCAAAGGCCUCUGGGAGUAGAAGCCACACUCCCCACAGUGUAGUGUCAGCUUCCCUGAAGCCACUUCAGAUACUCUAGGAGUCUGGGAGUAUUUCAAAAGCUAGGGACUAUGGGGAGGGCCUUUGCUCAGCAUGCUACAGCUCUAGGUCAUCAGGCCUCCAAACUUAACAGCCUUGAACAACUCAAGCAAAAGACACCCCCCCAUCUUGAUUUUCUGGAAGGCAGGCAGCCUGUACGUAGGAGGGUUUGAGCUAGGAGGGUUUGAGCUCGGGCGAACUGCUUCCUUGAGCAUAGUGUGCUUUUCACCACUUUACCCCAUCUCCCGGGGCCCAGAGUGUAUCAGUGGGUAUAGCACAAUCCCCUACCUCUCCCCUCCCAGCCUAUCCAGGCAAGCUUCAGGGUAGUUGGCCCACAGACCUAGGGCAUUCUGGGUACUCAACAUAUAUGGACUCAAUCAGGAUAUGUUGGAAAGCUAUGGAGAUGAAGCUAAGGAAGAGAGGAGAGGGAGGAGGCAGGAAAAACCCUAGCCCCCAAUUCUCCUGAGAACUACUGUUUUUCUGCCUUUACUGCCCAUUCCCCCUCCAUUCUCUGUCUCAGCCUCCCUCUGUUUGUCUCCCUCCCUCUCCCAUUUGAAUCUGGCCCUUCUGGGGCGCCCCUAGGCCACCCCUUCCUCCUCUGGGUGUCCCAGCACCAACCCGGUAAAUAGUGGGGCUCAGUAAGAGUAUGUGGGAUGUAUGGAAGGACAGGUGGACGAAUGGAUGGGUUCAACUGGCACACCUGGGCAGGUCAGGGUCAGAGGUGGGGGUGGGGUGGGGCUCAGGGGAUUCCAGGGAAGGAGCUACCUGCCCUAGUGUCAGCCCCCUUUAAAGGGGUCCUGUUGUUGCUCCCAUGCAUUCAUCCACGCGUUAACCCUGUCAUCCAACAGUUGAUCCUAACUGAGCGUGCCCAUGGUCCUGGCCCUGGGCUUGGCACCUGCCACCUAGCUUGUCCCUUGAUGGCCUCUGCUUCCCAGGGAGGGCGAGCUGGGGGGUUGUCUGGGAGCCAGAGCAGUGGUCUCUGGCUCCAUAGUGGGCAUUCAGAGGGCAUGGGGUGGGCCUGGUUUGCCUGCCCUGCCUUCACGCAGACCUGCUCACCCCCAGGGCCUUGCCCCCCUCUCUGCCUCCCUCCCCAUUCAUGGCUGAGUAUGGGCUACUGGCCCUGCAGCUUAGGGCUUAGGCAAACGCAAAGGAACAGCUGUGAUGUGCCAUUGGUCCUGGCCACACAGGUCUCCCUCCGUGGGUGAUGGGGGUCUGAGGCUAUUGGACCCUUUCCACAGUUUGUUCCUCCCCCUGGGACUCAGUCCAGCCUUUUUUGUCCCCAAAUAUUGGCUGGGGACUGUGUCCCAAUGCCAGGAGCCUCCAGAGAGCAUGUGCAGGCCCCGCCUCUGCCUGGCUGCCCACCUGCUCUUCUCCACCUGCUGGUUCCCCCCUGCUUCUACGGUGCCCGGGUUCAUCACCCUCUUAGCAUUCUGCUUGCAUAGCCUUUUCCCAUGGUGUCUCCCUAACACCCACCUGUGCCUCGGUCCCUGGGGUUACCCUACUCUACCCUCUCCUUCGGGUCUCAGCCACUCCUACCUCUGCUUUCCAGGCUGCCUUCCCUCGCUAAGCCCACACCUACGGCUAACCCGGUCCAUCUGCUGCCCCUUAGCCUUGCCACCAGGUCCCCAUAUCAUUGUGUCCCCCCAACUCAGUGUCACCUUAGUGGCCAGCAGCCUCCCUGUGCUUGUUGGACAAUCCCUUGCUGGUUCUUCAUCUCCUAUGGGCCUGGUUUCCAGGGGCUGAGUGCCCAGGGGCUCAAACCAGGUUUCUGACUUGGUUUGCUGGCCCUGGAGACUCCUACCGUCGUCAUCGUGGUCGUUGGUUGUUUCCUGGUGGGUGUUGCCCACACAUACCACCACUGUGUCCCUGAGAGUCCAUGGCUCCGCCCUCCUAGGCCCCUUGCUGACCAUUUGGUGUUGUUUUGGGGGCUACUAUCCAGGCCUGUCGCGUCUUCCUGUGCCAUUUCCUGUUGUGCUCAGGUUCUACGAGCCGCCCAUCUCCACAGAGGAGCAGCUGGCAUUGCCCACCGGCCAUGCUGAAGAACAGAAGAUUGAGGACCCCAGGACGCCCAGCGUGAGGACCCCGGGAGGACCCCACGAGGACCCCACGAGGACUCCAUGACGCCCAGCGCGAGGACCCAUGCCCUCACGACCACAUGCCUUUCGCCACCCUCCUGGAUCAGGCCAAAGUCAUCACCUGGAACCCUGCGUGGGACCCUGGACACACGGACAUGGACACAUGCCCCCAGGACCCUCCAACUGUAAAUCACUCUCCCUCUGGCUCUUGUACUAACUAGGAUGGAAGCGCCCUUGUGAGUUGGGGCCUUCAAAGGGCCGAGGAGAAAAAUGCAGACUGAGGGACCAGCUUCUCAAAUAGGCUUCAAGCCUCCAUGACCUGAGCUCACCCCCUGGAAAUGUCUGGAAAACAGAGUGGGCAGGUUUUCUGUCUUCAAAGUUUCCAUCUGAACCUCUUCAAGUUCUUUAUUGUUCGGGGCUGAGACACUUGGGGACGGUAAUGGGGACUCGCUUUUGUAUCUGUCUUGAAAGGCCAAAAUAUUUUUAUAUUGCUGUAGACAAAGCCACCUAUUUACAAAUGAACUCUGUUCCGUCGUUUCCCACCAGGAAGACCGUACUAUGUUUGUGUCUCUGUGUACUGUGGGGUCUUGAAACAGGUUUCUCAUGGGGAUGGCCAUUCACUGGGGCCCAGAGGGGCAGAAGGGGAAGUGUCUACCCUGCCAAGGGGUCUGGGGAAGGAGGGGGGCUAGUCUCAGAUCUGCCCUGUGUAUGUCUAGGGGUAAGCCCUGGGAGAAUCUGGUGCUAAAAGAACAUAUGCUGUGUUUGCCCCACAUCUGCCAUUUGUGUGUGUUUCUGGGCUGCGGGUUUGCAUACUUUGGUGGUUAACUUGGUGAGAGGAAGUAGGAAGGGCCAAGAGGGCACAAAUGCUCUGGUUUUCUUUUUGGGAGGCUGUUUCACUGGUGUGUGUUACAUUACAUAAUAAAUGUUUAGAAGGAUGAAUGAAAGAAGCAUGAAGGAAUAAAGAAACAAAAUAGGUAUAGAACUGAAGUGAGCAAGUCAUGGUGGGAGCACACAGUCUCUUUGGUGCCCAGGCAAUUAAUGUGUCAAUCAAAAAAAAUGCUGAGUUGAUAGGUAUAGUUAGGGCCACAUAUAAACUAGUAUUGGGUCAUCAUGGACCUAAGAAAUGUUUAAUUAAAGAAGAAAUCCUGAGUAAAAGAAGAAAGGGGAGGUGGAACUGUCUAAGCCAACACUGAGAUUUCAAGGCCCCUUAAUAUAAACAGAUAGAUGAUGAUGUGAUCAGAGAGAGAAGGAAGCAUAAAAGAAAGAAAACAAACAAUCAAAAUUAAAUGAAACGAAAUACUUAAAAAGUGUGUGUGUGUGUGUGUGGGGUUGUUAAAGAGAACCCAGCUGGGUUACAUCACCGUGCUGGUGGUUAGUUAAUCUGGGCACCCAGCUCCAAGGGGAUGAGAGACAGCAAGUGAGAAAGCUGGGACACACAGGAAGAUAAGCAAGACAAAGAGCAGUGAAGAAAGACAGAAAGGGAAAAAUAAAUCCUUUAGGCAGAUAGAUGAGUAGCCAGCUUCAUGGGAUGGUUAGGCUAGGAUUCAAAAUCGGACCACUUAAUUCUAGUAGCAGAGGCUUAACUACUAAAAAGAAAGAAAGCAGGAAGAAAGGAUUGUAGAUGUAAAUGCAUAAGUGAGAGAAAGAUAGGGAGCUUUCCUGGGCCUUAGAUGGGUGUUUGCAGGUGACCUGAUUGACUAGCCUGUGCAGCUGAGAAAGAACCAGAGAAGAAAGGGAAAAAAAGAAAGGUAAUAAUGCGCUCACAAAUAGGUAGAUGAAUACAGAUAGAAGACAGCACUGCUAGGGACAGGACGAAAGGCUGUGUCAGCAACUAGUUAAUUCCCAUCUGUGCUUCUGAGAUGGACAAUGACCCACCCGACCAAGAGACCUUUCAGGCAUCAAUAUGUCAGAGAGGGCCUCAAUGGGGCAAUGGAGGAGAGGCCCAUUAAUAGCAGAUUAUGAUGUAUCCAAUUAGGUGCACCUGCCCUCUGGAAGUGUAGAAACCAGUAUUGAAAUGGGGAAAAAAAUAAAAGACUGAAUGGAUGCCUGAGUGCACAAAUGAAUGAAUGAGAGAGAAAAAAAAAAAGAUUUGCAUUCAGUCUAAGGGGGAGGUUACUGCAGAGCCCCAGGGUCAUCUGAUCCCCCAGAGAAUAAAAAGGCGAGAGAGUGAUAGAAAGUAACAAUAAGAUGGGGAGGAAUGAAAAGAAGUGCAGAAGAUAAUAAGUGGGACAAUUAAGUCUAGGAGAGUGGACUUGUUUAACACAAGUCAUCCAUAUUAAUUCGAAAUUGAGGCCCCGGGCUAGGGUGGAACUCUGGGCUUAGUCUCAGCCCUGAAAAACAAACAGAGAAAGCAAAAUUAUGGCCCAGAGGUUGUAAAUAUUUUUGUUGUUGAUGACGGAACAAAGAGCUAGAUAAAUUGGGAUAUGGAGAGAGGGAAAGAGGUAGAAAAAAUAUUAGAUGAACACAGGAGAAAAAACAGUUCUUAGAUAAGUAUACAAAUAUGAUGAAUACACACUAUUAUCUGUUGAUUGUAUUAAAUAAAUGAGUGGAGAGUCAUCCAUAAAAGAAAAAAAUAAUUGAAAAGAAACAAGUAUAGGGGCAACCAUGAAAAGAUGAGCUAGAAAUUUAGUAAUUUAGUUAAUCACUGCUGCACUCAGGCCGAGUAAGCAAUAAGAAUGUGCAAAGAAGUAAAGGAAGACACGAGGAAUACAGAAAAGAGACAGGACAGACAGACACAAUGAAAAAGUUGAGAACAUAAAUUAAUAUAGAUGGACACAUGUGCCUGAAAGGGUCUUACAAGGAAGACAGAGACAGAGAGAGAGAGCAAGAGAGAGAGAGAAUGAACAAGAAUUAUAAUUAAUUCAAAACUGGGCUCCUGAGAUAACUAAAUUUCUCCUGAACUGAGGCACCAGCACAAGAAAUUAAAGAACAAAAGAGCUGCAGGCAGACCCAUGUGGAGAAGGCUCGGGACCCUCAGAUCAGCCUUAAUCGAAAUCUGUGCACCUGAGGUCCAUAAAUAAAAGAAUAAAUAUUGAAAUAAAAGAGUGACAGAAAGAAUGAAUGGAUACACGAAUGACUGAAUUAGAAAUGGAAAUGGCUAGAGCAGCCAGGAAGAAGUUGCCCACGGGAGUUUUGUUCAUCUUAUUCUGAGGUCCCUUAGUAAGAAGAUACAAGGGAGAAGGGGAGAAGUCACAAGAAGAGAAAAUGAAAGAGAGAGGGUGAAAUGAGAAAGUAGUAAAGAGAGGAAGCCAUAUGUGGGUGCCUCGUAAGAGAAAGAUCCGAGAGGAUUAGUAACGAGGGUCUCAUUAAUCCUAAAGAUCGAUGAGGUAACCCAGGCCCAGGUUCUUACGUGGAGAGAGAAUGGGGAGAGAGAAAAAAAGAUGCAAAAAGGAGAGAAAGAUAAUAAAACAAGCAACAUGAUAAAUGGGUAAUUAAGAGAAGCUGUCUGGACAGAAAUAGUAAUGAGUUCCCAUGCAUAGUCCUUAAAUAGAUAAAUACAUUAUACCUUUCAAAGAAUGCAUGAAAAAUCGAGGACCACUAUGGCCCCAAACAAGGCUGCACCUUCCGUUGCUGGAAUAAAAUACAUGCAGCAGAGCAGCCAUAAAUAACAGUAAAUACUUAACAGUAAAAGGUGACUAGACUUAGAGAGGAAGAUUGCAAGCACAGAUACUUGAGGGAGGAGAUAUUUGUUUUGCACAUGGGGUUUUGACUAAUACAAUUAUGUUCACAGGAAAUUAAUAGUUAAAAAAAUCCAAUCUAAGACACAGGAAAGACAAGGAAGGAAAUAGAUAGAGAGACAGGGUGAAGACUUGGGGUGGGAUCAGCGUGCCUUUUUUUCAUUCUGCAUACCCUGGUUUAUAAAAAUAAGACUGCCAGGAACUGUAAGAGAGCUGAAAUCUGGGGGGAAAUAGGAAAGGAAUGAACCUGAGGAAAAGGCGGAGGGAUUUGCAAAGGGAGGGCUUCCAAUAUCUGAGCCUGUGGUUCUUUGGAAGGAAUCAGAUCUUAAUGAAUGCUUUUUGUGAAUGAAGAGAAGAUGGUAGAAAUGUAGAAGGAAAAGAAGGAAGGGGGAAAAGGCAGAAGAGAGGGCGGAGCUUGCAUGUGUCACAUAUUGACUGAGAUUUGUCAUGAAUGGCUAUUGGCCCUCUACAAGCUGCUCCCACACAGCCUAACUGGCUGGGAGCAGCUAGCUGAGGAAGACCCUAGCUUUGGACCACCAUUGCCAUUUCCUGGUUGCAUGGGCCAUUUCACUGUCUGUCACAUUCUCAGCCCAAGAACACAUCCCUGCCCAGUGCCCUAUUCAUAGACUUGGAUACAUGGCAAGGGCUCAGGCCCACGCCCAGGCCCUGUAGACCAUUGCAUGAAUAAGGGGUGCUAAGCUCGGUGGGUAUCUUGACCCACCCUUGGAAAGGACCUCCUUUGAGCCUGCUGUGAGGGGCCUUUGCCAACCAGGGGACAGGAGGAGGUCAGAGGGCAGGAGGCCUUGCUUGUUGCAUGUCAUCUCGGGUGUGAGUUACAUCCAGAGUCUGGGGCAGGAAAGCAAGGGUGACCCGGAGGCCAGAGGCCCGGGAGCCCUGGUCAAAGCACUAGGAUUCUUGUUCUUACAACUCUCUGAGAUCAAGGUCACAUCAACUCAGGGCUGUAGGCAAGAGUACCUCAGACGUGAUCCUGGGUCCCAGUCCCUAGACAUGCCACCCCUGGAGCCCGUUUCAAGGCCUUUCUUUCAGAAUGUUUAAAGAUGAUGUAUUCUGUAACUACUAAAAAUCAUGUUAUACUGUGUGUUGAAACUGUCUUUUCACUCACCCCCAUGAACUGCUGGGGGAGACAUGGAGAGUUUAUUCUGGUGCCCCCCUCUCUUCUUCUGUCCAGUUUUCUUCCUCUGUUCUGGACAAGAUUUAUACAGUUGUGUGUUGUGUGCUUGUGUCUCUCCAUUAAAAAACAGUAACAGUCCCACUUGACUUCUCAAUUCCUAUUGGGGACAUUAAAAAUAAAAAAAAGAAAGAAAGAAAGAAAAAAUUCUUACCAAGUGCCCAAGCAGGAUGAGAAUAGUUUGGCUGGACCCGGGGGGCAUGUGCAGACCUGAGGGUAGGUGGACAGAUAGGUUAUGUAAGGGGGCUCUGGUGAGAGCCAUGUCCAGGCCCAAUACAUAGAAAGCAUGGGCAGGUUGGGGUGGGUGGGCCUGCUGUUACACCUGAUUUGCUGGAGAUCUGAGUCACCAGCAAGGAAGAGGGCCCCAGGAUGAAGAACUUCCCUCAAGUCUUUAGGAUCACAGGCAGGAUGUGCUGGAGUGAGCUGGCUGAAGAAGGAAGAUGGGCACUCCCUACGCUUCCAGCUUCCAGCUUAGUGUAGGCUCUGGAUAGAUGGCAACAGCCUCCGAUCGUGGAAGACACGAACUUCACGUGUCAGAAGCCACCUUCUGUGCCCCCAGCACCACGUGUCUGGGCCACGUGAGCAACGCCACGUGGGCCUGACGUGGAGCUGGGGCCGCAGGGGUAUGCUGGCCUCCUCUUUCCGAAUCUGGGUCUCCAGGCUCUGCCUCGGCGUUAUCAUCCCUGGGACACCUGCUGACCUGGCUCCUGAAGAUUGUCCAGACAAGCCCGAGUGACCCUGUGAGAUAAGAGGGGUGGGUGGAGAUGCUCAGAAGAAAGAGACCAGAAGGGCUAUUGCAUGGGGCUCGCAUGGAGGUGUUUAGGCAAGGCUGCAAGAUGGCCAACAUGGGUGAGGAGAAGGGCAUGGCUAACUAUAGGCUAUGGGAGGGAGGACAGUGACAUGAGGCAGUGUGGCAGUGGGUCUCUAGGUGGGCCUUGUCUCAACAUUCCUGCCGGGAGAUUGGAGGGGUGCCAUGGGUUCCUUUGGGUCAGUGGGACCCACUGCUGCCUUGGAGGCCAUAAGGACUUGGGUUGGUGACUUCUGAGUCACCUUGGGAAUAAAGAAGGAUGGGUCCAGCUGUUUUGAGUCUCUGACUCUUAAUCAGAUCUGGAAUUGCAAGCAUCUCUAGUUCUGCGGUUCUGAGGGUGACAGUUGGGUUCCCCAGGAUAUAUGUGGGGAGGGUGGUCUGCAUGUGCUCCAAAACUGGGAUCCUAGCACCUCUGCCUGCUCAGGGCUGUUUUAGACACCUUUCUUUCUUUUCAAUACUACAAAACAAGACAGAUUUAUUCUUCUGAUUGACACUCAUGUGCACUACACAAAGUCCUUUUUCUGAUGAUACUGGGACCUACAGCUCUCCUUGGCUCCCCCUGCAGCUUCCAACCCAUCCUUGGGGCAGGUGGACCAAAGCCCCUGGUGUUUUCUGAGGUGAAAUUGUCAAUGUAAAGAUGUGUAACUCAGAGCAGGAUUACACCCCAACUCCGCCCUCCACGCACUCCAUUUUUCUUUUCUGCCUUCCAAAUUCUUGUCUUAUGAGCACAGUUUUUUCUUUUAAUGAACAUCCUCCCACCCCUUAAAGCCUCAUUGACAUUGUUUACUUUUGGUUGUUGUUGUGUACUGUCUGUUGCAAGAACAUUGUGUCCAUGUUUUUUUCUUUGCUUCAUACUCUCUCUCCCCUGCUUGGGUUUCCUCUGAAUGGCUACACCAUCGUGAUUUACCCAUGUGACUCUCCCUGGUGCAUGAUUAUCUCCUUUUUUACGUUACACGUGACAUCUCAACCCGUGGCUUUACACAACCAGCUUUCCUGGCUGGCUGUAGCACUUCUGCACAUCUAAUUCUUACCAUGGCCUCUUCCUUUUCAUGUUGCUUCCCUCUGCUACACUGUGAGCCCACUCAGGGCAAGGAGUUUGUGGGGCUGAGCUCUGUAUCUCUCAUAGGCUGUAUAUGAAUGUCUGAUGGGUAUAUGUGGAAGGCUGGAUAGGUAUGAAUGACAGUGAUUGAGCGGUUGGCAGAUGAGAGGAUAGAUGAAUGGAUUAAUGAAUGAGUGAGUGAGUGAGUGAGUGAGUGGUUUCUCUGGGUCUGAGCUUCCUGGAUGAAAGAUUAGGGGUGUUUGAAUGGCCGUUGAUUGAUUUCAGGAGGCCCACAGUAUCUUACCAUGUCCAUUGAUGUGUUAGUAUUUAAAGUGAUGUAUUAGUGUUUGAGAUAUCUGCUAGUUUUUCCCCCUCUGUUAAUAAAUGCUUCCGCAUGGAUUUAAAACUUGUUCUAAUUACUAAUGAAGGCUGAACACUUUUCACCCAUGUUUGUUAACAAAUUGUAUCUUAUCUCUGUGAACUGUUUGUCCAAGUCCAGUGGGUCAUGGCUUUAUACAGGUAUUGGUCAUGGGUGGCCUUAGGUUAGGUGAGGGUCUCUAUCUUCUUGUGGCGACCCUGUUGGGAGAGGGCCUUUCUCAGAAAUUUAUAGAAUGGUAUGGGAGGACCAGCUGACCUUCCAGGUCAGUCUGACUUGAGAAUUUCCUUACCCUGGGAAAUAGGGAGGGUGAUAUCUUCCACUAGCAGGCAGGAGACAUUUUUAGGCUUGCAACUGGGUGCAGCAUGCCUUCACAGCUUGUGAACUCUGACCUGUCUCGUGUACCUCUUGUGUUUUGGCGGUCAUCCAUCUUGUCCUGCCUAGUGAUGGAUGACACCUUCUGACUAUCCACCUAUUUUAAGAGCGUAGACCACAGACCCAGUUCUCACAGGCGGUGGGUUCUUAGUGUUCUGUGAUGCACCUGCAUAAAUCCCUUAGCUCUGGCCUGCAUUUAUGUCUCAGUGGCCACUGUGGUUUUUCCAUAAUGAAUGGGAAAUUCAUUUCAGGACUGGUGUGAACUGCCUCAGGUUCAGUCCUGCGAGCAAGACCACUCAGUGGUCUCUGCUCUUCCCUUCACAGCCUCAUUACAGGGAAGUUGCUGCCAUUUGGGUAGGGAGUAUACUCCAGGAGAGCUCAUCCCUGCCUUCCAGAACACCCUCCCACCCCUCUAAUAUAGCACUUAGCGUGUCUGCCUGUGUUCAGUUCUCUCACCCCAUGCUUAUCUUGGCAUUAAAGCUUGGGAAGCCAGUGUUGAUUUUCAACAUGACUUUACAUCAUCCACCCAUCCGUCUGUCCAUCCAUCUAUCCUUCCAUCCAUCCUUCCAUCCAUGCAUCCAUGCAUUGAAUCUCCAUCACUUGACCUGGUGCUUUGGGCUUCUCCUGAAAGCAAACCCUUUCACCUUGGGCAAGCUGUGUGGCACCAUGGGCUGUGGUCAUCAAGCAAUGCCCCACUCCCCCAUUUUGCAGCCUCCAACUCCUAGGUCACAAGCACAUCCCAGCUGGAUCCCAUAACCACAGCUUCUCCUCCACGACGCUUCUCACACAUCACACACUUCUACCGUGAUCCAUGAGGUUGACCCCUCCCACCAUAAGCAGAACUGCCUCCCCAGGCUUCACCCUCCCUGGUGCAUGGUCCCUGUUGCAAGCUUUGCCUUCAGCCUUGCAGCUUCCUCCACCAGAUGGCAGUGGUUGUAACUCAUGUGCCCAUCCCUCUACUCCUUCAUUUGUUCUUUGAGAGUCAGCAAGCAUCUUUAAAAAUUAGCUAGUGCUAUACUAGAGUUGGCUCACCAGGACUCACUCCACCACUGCCCUUUGAAAGAAAAGAUGGGGACAUUUGUAAAGAAGCUGUGUUUGUGUGUCCAAUAAGGUGAGCUCCUUGAUUUCAAUUCAAACUUCAGGCCUGAGUUCUAUUGCUAGCUUGAUUGCUCUCUCCAACUUUGUUCCUCACACAACUAGGUUGAUUAGUAAUCAGCAAACUCUGUUCUCUGGGCGCUCAGAAAUCAUAGCCCGUAUCUUUGAGAGGCCCAAAGGGGAGUGGACUGAGCACUCAAUAGCUGGCUCUGGCUGCGAGCAGGCUUUCAAGGCUGGGAGAUGCCCUGACCUUCAACAGGGAUGCUCGGAGCGUCAUUCUGGCUACUAUUGAGCUUGGAUAAUGCUUGGCUCAUUUUUAAAGAAAAGUGCAGGAGAUGGUUGCUUCUACAGGUGACAAGGAUCAUGUCCCAGGGUCCUUUCUGAUCAAUCUAUUCACAGACCAGGGUGGGCAAGGUACAGGGCAUUGUGUAUUUGAGGGGGUCCCAAAGUAGGAGACACCUUCCUCCAGCUUUCUUCUCUGGAGGAGUAGAGACGCAGGUCUCUUCUGAAUUCUGUGUCUCACCAAAGGUGUAGGGAUCGACAAAGCCAGGCCCUGGAGCUGGACAAAUUGUGCGAUGGAUUUUAUCUGAGAGCUUGAGUCUGUCUUUUAUGGUAGGGACCAUGGUGUCCACCUUUCAGGGCUAUUGUGAGGAUUGGUAUAACUGGACAUUUCUGUGAUUCUAGAAGGCAGUGUAUGUGUCCCUGGGGGUGUGCCAGAGCACUGGGAACCCUAGCCCCAGGGUGGGGGUGGUCUUUCUCUGGCAUAGUUGGGGGUGGUUUUGUUUUGUUUCUGAUCAAAGGGUAUAUGCUAAAUUUGUGUAUUAUUUUUCAUAUAAACUAGGGACUUCCACAGCAUGGUUUGGGAGGCUUUUUAGGUAGUACCUCUGCCCUCCCUCCUACCUCGGACACAUCCACACCCACCCACCUCUUCAAGAGGUUGGGGGUGCCUUCAGCUUUGUAACUGAGGACCAUGCCCCUGAGUCAGGCCUGAAUAUGGCACCUAAUUACCUUCCUAUCCAAAAACCUCUUCCCAGGGGAAUAUUUGGCAUGGUUUGCCAGACAAUAUUGUCCCUUUCCCAGGGUCUACCCCCCCCCAGCAGCAUCAGGCCAUACUGCCUGAGGUCUGGUGCCUACCACAGUGCCUGGCUAGGGGUAGGAGCUCACUUACCUUCUUAUGUUGUGUUUGAGUAAAUAGACUGGGCAGCUAACAAUUGUAACCAGCCCCAGGGACAGAUGUAUUUGAAUCCUUAUCAAAUCACCUCAUUGUAUUUCUCUCUUCCCUAACCUGUUAACCAACUAUUGCUGUAUUGCAGUGGGAUUUUGCAUAGCGCCUUGUUGUUUUCCAUGCUAAGUAAAGGAAUAUUGUUUGCUUUCUGGUGAGAGCCUGUUUCUCCAUCUGUCACUUUGCCCUUCUCACCCAUAGUCUUCUUUUCUCUCAGGUGUGUGUCACUGGAAAGCCUACCUCACAGGGUUGAUGUGAGGGCCAAGGGCUGAGCCACUGUGACAGUGUGAUUAAAUGCUGGCUGUCCCCAGGAAUGGUGGCCUGAUGGGGUUGGCUCGAAAUCACAACCCAAAGCCCUUAUUAGUAGUCACUGAAUAAAGAGUCAGUAUCGACCUUAACCUGAGGUUGUAUUUCCAACAGUUGAUGCAGUGUGCAAAGCAGGCUGUGAGUGGCUGGCUGUGUGGUCCAGGCUAAAUGCUUGUGUGGUUAAUGCAUGUCGCCUUCUCCACUCCAUCAUGGUGGCUGAUACUUCUUCUUAUGUGCAGGCCAAAGCUGGCUGGGCUGGGCCACUGUGCUUUGGGGGUGUUCUAUGAAGGGUGGUAUGUGCUAGGUGAUGCUUUUGCAAGCUUGUAUUUCUGAGUGUGUCAAUUAUAUGUCCCUGGGCCAGUGGCAAGAACCAAGGGUCAAUAGAGGGCUUCCAAAUAAUGGCACCUUUGAGUUUUUUUUUUUUUAAUGCCUUCCUCCACUUUUAGCUGGUGGGCCUGGAUGCUUAUUCUCCUCACUCCCCCUUCUUUCACCAUCAGGAGAUGAGAAAAUUAGUUUCCCCUAUACCCAACCCUGCUUUUACCUACGUUAGGUCUCUCUCACACCCAGAGUGCUCCCAUUCUGCAGAUGGGCAGACUGAAGGCCAAGUACAAUAUUUCCAGUUUUGUGUUAAAAACUCUUUCCACUCCACCAAACAAAGCCUCAGCAAGUUCUUCAGGUUUACCCUUGCCUGAUCCUAGCAUGCAUUCACUUAGUAUCUCACUGUCCACCUACAAGUUUCCCAGCAGAGUGAGGCAUGAAGGGAGGAGUGAGGAGGCUGCAUCUGUCCAGGUCUCCUGGUUCCACAGUGGCCUGGUCAUUAUCUGCCUAGGUGGGAUCUUGGCUUAUUUCCUUCUAGGGUCUUUCCACAUCAUUGAAUUCCAUCCCCAGUCCUUGUCCUGUGACUAUGAGGGUGGGGCUACUUCUAUUUUCCCACUCUCUGUUCAUUCCUACUCCACAGAAACUCUCAGCUUUUCUUUUGCCUCUGGCUUUUAAAGCACUGGUGUCUCAGCCCUAGCUGCCUUUUUGCUCUUGGUAUUGUCACUGUGUCCUCUGGGUACAGGAGUCUGUAUUUUUUCAUUCUUCCCUCUGGCCGUAUUGCCUUAGCCCCAUUGAGAUCCUGAUUCUGUGUCCCCCAGGCUGUGUUCUGGGCCCUGCAGUGUGGCCAUUGCUAUUCAUCACCUGUCUUUGACAAGUUGUUGGAAGCUUUGCUUCUGUACUCUGGGGUUUCUUGGUAGGGACCGGUGGUAGGGACCUUUGCUCAGGUAAUUUUGAGUAUGGGUCCAGGGGCCUGGGUUCAGAUGGGCCUUGGUCCCCUUGCAAGCCAGGUUUAUGGUGACUCUGUUAGGUAUCUUGGAGGUAACAAAAAAAUCAGGGGCCUGGUAAUUAGGAAACACUUAGGUUUUGGCCAAGCUGUACUUAAACUCCAAGCUCUAGGCCUGCUCCAACCUAAUGUCACCCUGCCUCUUGUAGGAGUGGGUGCCGAAUACUUGCUCUGUGAUGGAGGAAGCAGAUGCAGAUUAGUGGAUGACUUUGAGGCCUUUACUGGUGUCUCCCCACGAAGUCUGUAGAAGCCCCGAGGCCUCUUACUGGGGUCUAGUCAGCCACAGGGGUCCCUCUGGGUAGAAACAUGGCUUUGUGGAUAUUUAUGUCUAAGAUAAAGCUUUUGGUGGACUAAAAUGUCCUCAUUGAGGUUUUGGCCUGGGUGAUUCUGAAAAGGCUUCAUUUGGCAAUUCUCAAAUUCUAAGGAGGGCUUGCCUGUGCCCAUAUACUCUCUGGGUGAAAGGUAAUUUCACCCCCAAAGCCUCUGUCCCCACCAUUAGUGACAAUCAGCAUUGACUUGAAAGUUACUUGGGACACAGCCAUGAGUACCUGGCCGACUACAGAUAGAGGCGAUUGAAAUGCAGAUCUUGGUUUCUUAUUUUCUCUAGAGUACUACUUGUGCACAUGGGUAUGAGUGGAGUUCCAAGGGUCUUGCCCAUUUGGGCUUUGGACCUUUUUUCCUUUUUUUUAAACAGUUGAACCUUAAGCAGAUUACCUGGACCAUCCAGAGCCUCAGUUUUCCCUCCUACAAAAAGGGGUGUCAUUGGUGAUUGCUUAGAGAAUGGCCAGGAUACUGUCUUGUGGUGGCUGAAGAGAAUCAAGGUCUGGGUUCUGGUCCAUUCUAUCCCCUUGCUGACAGUGUGGUCUUGGCUGUUUGCCAUGACCUAGAACUAAUCAAACCAACCCACCUGUUGUGAUUAUUGGGGGAUGGGGGAGUCAGGAGGAUUAUUCAUGUGAAAAUGAGUGUUUUGAUGCUUGGUAUACAGGUGCUCAUGUGCGCCACUCUGCAUUGGCUGAUGUAGAGGGGGCAGUGGAACUGGUUCAGGUGUGCCCUGGUUUCUGAAACAUCAGGUUCAUGUGAAAUUCUGGCAGGGUGGAAGGCUGGAGAGUAGCACUGACCCAGCUCUGGAGAGACAGAGAUAAAGGCGAGAGAUUGGUAUUAAAGUCUGAGACUCAGUAGUUUUGUUGGGGGACAUUGAGGGGCAAGUAGGAGACAGACUAGGGUGAGCAUUUAGAAGAAGCCUCCAAGGGGCCCACAGCUGAAGUCUUUGGAAAAGCAGCACAGUUUCAUAGAGAAUGGGUUGGCUAGAAACCUUGGGUGAUGUGUGAGAAAGAAGGAAAAAAUAUUCAAGAAUGGGUUAGUGAGGGCAGGAGCUGGUGGCCAGCUAUUGCCCUCCUUCCAUGGCUGCCCCAAAGUGGGGCCUUCUACAUAGCUCAGACUUGCUGAGCACAGGACUGGGUUGUCCCCUCCAGGCCCUAGCCUGCCUGGUGCAUGAGAACUUUUGUCAGCCACAGGGAUGGGCAGCAGAUGGCCUUCAUGUGCAGCUGUGUCUCUCUCAGCUUCUACAGCCACGGGGACGCUUUGCACAUUUCCUGUGGGACAUGCUGGACCCAAGACUCUGGACCCGGGCCUCCCCUUGAGUAGAGAGACCCAUCUACUGACUGACUGAACUGUGCUGAUCUGGGGGUCAGGCACGUGGCCUUGAUCCCUGUCCAUGGACCCUGAGACUUGGGGGAAAGCUGUUGAGUCUUUGCUGACUCCACAGUUAUGAAAUGGGCUCAGAUUCCCACCUCACAGGGCUGUUGUGAGGCAGCUGCUAUGUGCUUAGAAGCAUGGGGCCUGGUGGCUCAUGGUGCUUUCAAUAAAUGUUUGUCUUAACUAAAGCAGUGAUGGCUGUGCUACUAAUAUGAAGAAGGGUGGGUGUCUUGCUGGGGCUUCCUUUUGCCGUGUAAUGGUUCGGAGGAACUGCCUCAUAUCCCUUAAAUUAUGUUUGUCCUGCCUGGUGCGAUACUCGGGGCCUGUGCUUGGUGGGUUCAGAAGAAAGCCCAGCCUGCCCUUCCCCUCGUGUGCUCACGAUGUCAGUUUUCUUCCGGCAAAGAGACCAAGCAGGAAGUGUGGGAGGUCUGGCUUUGGAGCCUGAGGGGCUCACAGCUCCGGUCCUUGGAGCUCCAGAGAGAAUGUUGCUCCGGGGCUGAGUUCUGUGCACCCCCCUUGCCCUCCACUUUCCCCGGGGGCCAUGCCAGGGCCCUAGCUGAGAAAUCAUCAUGACCCAGAUGGGUUGGUCCAACUGGGACUUGGGCCAAUACGGCUCAGAUAUUCCCCUGCCAGGCAUCAGGUAUGCUGGUGGAGUGUGGGGAGGUGUUCCCUACCCUCAUGACUUCUGAGGGAACUGGGGGGUGGACAGUCAGGCUGCCUGAGCAGUCUGGGGCCAAGAGGAGGGAGUUGGUAGCAAGUGGGAGGGGAAAUGGAGCUGAAUGCUGGUAGCUCCUGGCUCUCCUAGAGCAGAUGACAUGAACAUCAUCCCAACUAAGAAGAAGGUGACCAUAACCACCACAGCUUCCACAUGACUACGACCAACACAGUUGCUACUCAUCGAACAGCAUCUGCCACGACCACUGUUGCCUUUGCUGCUGCCAGUAUUGCCAGCCCCUCCCCCUUCUCCUUUCCUUUUUCCUCUGUCAAUCCUUUCUCUUCCUCUUUUUCUUCUGACUUCUUUUCUUCUUCCUCUGCUUCUUCCCUAUACAUCUCUUUCCUUUUCUCCUUUUGAUUCUUCUUCCUUUUCCUUUUUCUCUUCAUUCCCCUUUUGUCUUCCCUCCUCUACUUCCUCAUCUCACAGAGAAGCAAGUUAACAGCUCUUCAGGUAAAGGCAACUGCAAGUACACAGGACUGAGCAUCCUCCCUCUGCUGAAAGCACCACCUUGAAAGAACUGGACACGGGAGCCUGGAAAACCAAUUCCAGCUGUGUAUGGGACUAUGUCCUGUGUGGCUGAUGAGCCAAAUUGCAGGUGACAGUGAGAAGACAUAUCUCCGGAAGUUGUGCCCAGCCAAGAGCAUCCAAGAGUCCUGAGAAGCCAUUUCUGUGGUGAACAGAGCCUUAUUAUAAAGCUCAGGCUUCCAGAGUGAGUGCCCUAAGGAUGCUUCACAGAAAAGACCUCUGCUUCAGCCUCUGAGGGCGCCCAGCUGUCCAGAAAAAAAAAAAAAGACUUUCUUUAUGUUCCAGAGAAAACACCUCAUCUUUUGACAAGCCUCAAGUUUUGUCAGCAUCUAUAAGUGGCGUUCUGUGUUUAUAGUCCAGCUCAGAAUCCCAAGCGCCAGCCUCUGAUGAAGCUCAGACAUCCUGAAUUAAGAGUAUGCUGAUAUCCCUGGGCCAGGAUGCCAAUUCCAGUCCCUGGCAGACUUUGGACAUUCAGAAUAAGUUCUUCUUUUGGUAUCUCAGAGCCCAGAGCCCAUCUUUAGCCUCUAAUGGACCUCAGGGACUCAGAAGUCAGAACUUUGUUGAUGCUCUAGAGAUGGGACUCUUACUCUACCUCUUGUGUACAGUAGAGCCAAAAGUCCAAAAAGAGGGACUUCUUUGACAUUCUAGUGCCAAGCUCCAGCUGUAGCCUCUAACGAAACUCAGCUCAUAUUCUAGAGCCGAAGCUUAGCUUCAGUCCCCAGUGAAGCAGAAACAUCUGGACUGUAGGGCCCAUUCAAUGUUCUUGAGCUGGAGACCCAUCUUGAGUCUCUCACAAUGCCCAAAAGCCCCAGAGAAAUGAAUAUAAUUGACAAUGAAGGGUCAUAAUGCCACCUGUAAUUUUUGAAGGGCUCAGAAAGAGACUUUGCUAUUCUAGAGCUAGGACUAUGGCUCAUCUCCAGUGAAGCUCAUAUGUGCAGAAUCAAGGACCUCUUUGACUUUCCAGAAUCAAGGCUCCAUCUCUCUCCUCAGUGUCCAGUACUGACUCUCUUGACACUCUAGACCUGACUUGGAUUUGAGUCUUGAGUGAUACUCAGAAAAUGGGUGCUGUAGAGCAAAACCUUCACCGCCCAGAUAUCCAGAAAGGGGUCCCUCCAUGGUGUGCUAGUACCACAGGACUUCAUCUCUAAGCCCUUGGUGAAACUCAGAUUUCCUAGAUCAAGGGGGUUCUCCAUGAUGUUCUAGAACCAGGGUUUCCACCUCCAUGCUUUGAUGAUGCUUUUGUGUCCAGAAAGAGGGUCUUACAUGAUUUCUAGAACCAAGACUUCACCUCCAGCCUUUUAUGCCUCCAGUCUACAGAGAAGCUUAGAUGUCCAGAAAUGACAUUCUCCAUGUUCUAGAACCAGGACUCUGCCUCCAGCCUUUAAUGUCCAGGUGUCCAGAAAGGGAGGACCUUCUUUGACAGGCUAGAAGCAUUACUGCGCCCCCAGCCUUUGAUGAUGUCCAGAUGUCCAGAAAGGGGACCUCCUCUAUGUUCCGGAAGCCUGGCUCCACCUCCAGUCUUUGAUGAUGUCCAGAUAUCUGGAAAGAGGGUCUUCCACGAUUUCUAGAACCAAAACUUCACCUCUAGCCUCUCAUGCCUCCAGUCUCCAGUGAAGCUUAGGUGUCCAGAAAGGGGAACUCCACUAUGUUCCAGAAGCCUGGCUCUACCUCCAGCCUUUGAUGAUGUCCAGAUAUCUGGAAAGAAGGUCUUCCACGAUUUCUAGAACCAAAACUUCACCUCUAGCCUCUCAUGCCUCCAGUCUCCAGUGAAGCUUAGGUGUCCAGAAAGGGGAACUCCACUAUGUUCCAGAAGCCUGGCUCUACCUCCAGCCUUUGAUGAUGUCCAGAUGUUCAGAAAGAGGGUCUCCACUACGUUCCAGAAGCCUGUCUCCACCUCUAGUCUUUGAUGUCCAAUUUUCCAGAACGAGGGGCCUUCAUGAUGUUCUACAACAAAGACUGUAUUUUCAUUUUUGGACGAAGCAGAGACAUCUCAAAAGAGGGUCCUCCUUAACAUUCUAGAAAUAGAAUCCCAGCUCCAGUCUCUGAAACUUGGACACCCAGAAGGAGCGCUUCUUAGUGUUCACAACGAGGUCUGCAGUCUAGUCUCCAGUGAUGAUCAGAGGUUCAGGACUACGGACCUUUUUCCAUGUGUUAACGCCAAGAAUCCAGCCAAGAAUUGUCAGUGAAGCUCAGAUGUCUAGAAAGAGAGACUUUCUUGAAUUUUCUAGAUCUAGAAUUCCAUUUCAAUAUCUAAUGGAGCUUGGGUGUUUAGAAGGAGAUUUUCAUAUUGUUUUAAAGAUAGAGGAAUAUGGACAUUUUUCAUAUGCUAAUGCCAAGAAUCCAGCCAAGAAUUGUCAGUGAAGCUCAGAUGUCUAAAAAGAGACUUUCUUGAUUUUUCUAGAUCUAGAAUUUCAUUUCAAUGUCUAAUGGAGCUCAGGUGUUUAUCAAGAGAGACUUCCAUAUUGUUCUAAUGAUGCAACUCUGAUGACGUUCAGUUAUGCUCAGCAAGAGAGACUCCUUUGUUCUUCUAGAUUGGAGAUUGCAUCUGUACCCUCUGGUGAAGUUCAAAUAUCCAGAAAGCAAGACAUAUGUGAUGUUUUAGAGUGGAUGAACUGUCUAGAAGAAGAGACUACAUUGGUGUUCUAGAGCAGAAAGUCAAGCUCCAGUUUUGGAGAAAAACUCAGAUAUCUGGAAGUGGAGGGAAAAAAAAACUUGGAGACUUUGGGCUUUCCUGGAACAGUGAUGAGUAUGUCCAAAGUUUGACUCGAGACUGGAAAGGGCAGACAGUACUUUUUUUGUGUCCCAUGGCAUUCAGUGACACUACCAUGCAAGAAGGUUUCAAAUUUACAGAAGAAAAAACUUAGAAAAGAAACUCCUGGUAGCAGAACCAAGUGCUUUAAGAACAUGAAAGGUGAUGUCACGGAGUGGAGAUAACGAACGUUCAGUGAUGCUUGAACAGUAUGUAAUGCCAUAGCAAAGCACCAUUUUUUGCUUUUUAGUUGUAUUGGACUCAAAGCUGUCCACCAGCUUUGACCCCACAGGAAUGCCAAGUUGGCUGGACCCUGGAAUGUAACCCAAGCUAGUUUCUGCGGCUAAGCUCCUCUCCAAUGCAAGAUGCUAAAUGCCCACUCAACGGCUUGUCAAUCUGUGACCUCAGAGCCGGUUAGAAAGGGCUUCUCUGCUUCCAGCAAUAUAAGUUCACUGAGUUCGAGUCUUGGGCCAUGUCAAGAUGAUUGUGAUGACUGUAAAGACUGAGGCAGCCACAAAGGAGACCCCCAAAUACCUGGAGGCAUGGACCCCGACAUUCCAGCUGAGGCAAUGUUUGGAGGUGAAGUCUUGUACUUUAGCAUCUUUUGUGGUCUAGGAACAUGGUUGACCCCACACUGUUUACUGAGUUUGAGAGAUGACAAAUAAGAGAAAAAAAUAGCUACUUAUUCAGAAAGUGCAAGAGCAUCAUGGAGGACUCCAGUCUGUGACAAAGAAUGUAGCCACUUGGAGGAGGGAGCCUUGAAUGUCAUUCUGGACAGGCCAGCUGGACAGCCUAUACCCUGGGGCUUCUAAAGACUUGCUCUCAGCACCUAUGCUAUUCCUACAUGAUUCCAUCAGUGUCUCUCCCAACAUGACUCUUUAUUUACCUGGAGUGCAGAGGAAGGGAAGCAGCUAGCAGGACUUCCUGAGAAACCCGCUGAUGAUGCCACCAUCAUUUUGGUGAUAUUUCCUGUACGUUCAGAUGAAUUUGGACUGUGUACACAAGAAUUUCUUUGAGUGACUGGAAUUCUAGACCUGGGAUGGAGUGAAAGAGCAACAGCGUCUUCGAGGACUGUCCUAUCUCGUUCCUGCUCUCAUCUGGCUGAGUUAUUUUUGAAGAUUUCCAAGAACUGGUGAUUGCUGAGUUCCUAGACAUCUCUACAACAGAUUUCGAGGCCAAACGAAAGACUGCUGAACCACAUUCGUGAGAUGAAUAGAGCGCAUAUCUCCAAAGACGCCGCUACUACGCAGCUGUACACGCAAGACGUGGGCAGAAGGUGGUCGUGUCACGAAGACUUCAGUGUCAUCAGGCACAGUUUCGCACUUGAGAUGCUUUUGAUGGUCCCUCCUCCCGUUCUUGCAAGGUACGUUGGACCCACCCAUCUCUCCCACACAGUGUUCUAUUUGGUGAUGUGGAAUUCUGAUACAGACUUCUAGAAAGCCUCUUAUAGUGCCUGCUACCACUAGUGGCCCAUUGGACGGAGGGGAGAGCCAAUAUAAGACAGACUAAAUUCAACAAAGGAGGGAGGUCCCUACGUAUUGUAAGAUGACACUGGUUGGGGUCAUGCUCUGGUGGUAUCAUCCUAGACACCUCAAGGUUUCACAGCUGGCUCUCUUAAGUUCCAGGACCCCCUACCCAAUAGACAGUGAAUGAUCUUGGGCAAAUGUGUUGGAAUUUGAUGCUAACUAAGUUCAAUCUGGCAGGUAUUAAUUCCUACUGAGUACAAGGUGACUGGAGGGUGACUAGGGAGUAAGAUAGAUCCACCAGAUAGGAAGAAGUCGACAAGUCUGGUCAGGGAGCCUGGGCGUGGAGGGGUUGAUGGGUGGGGGAGGGAGGUGCUGUUAUCACAGAUUAUUGUCUAUAUACCUGCACUUUAAAAAGCACUUUAUUGUUUGCAUGGUGUUGGCUGAUGGUAGAAAGUAUGAGUGGAGGUGUGUGUGUGUGUGUGUGUGUGUCUUUGUGUGUGUGUGUGUUUGUGUGUGUCUGUGCAUCAUAGAUAGAGACCCUGGGCUCUAAAAACAUGUCAGGGCCAAAGCAUACAUUUCCAGGUGGUUCUACAUGAUUGGGAUCCUUUUCCCAAGAGCUAGGGACAAACUCCCUACUGAUUUGAACAUCAGAAUUUCUCCCUAGCCUCCCUCUACUUAGAGUCAAUUAUGGUCCCUUCAAAAUUCUGGGCCUUAUGGCUCACACAACCCCGUGCUCAUGCAACCUAUGAAAGCACCACUUCUGGAGCUUUUGCUCCCUGAGAGCCUUAGCUAAGGGCUGAGCCCACCAUCUGUUUACCCAGCUCUUGGGCAUCCACAGUAAUGGGUGGAGUCUGACUGGCAGGGCAUAAAUAAGCUCACAUACACUGGUCCAUGUGGUGGGAUUGGGUGGGCACUGAACUCCCAUCAGGGCCCUCAGCAUGCAGGGGCCCUAGUCUGUGUGAGUCCUGUGUAUAUGCAUAUAUGCAUGUUAGCUUAUGUGCCUUCCGGAGUGUGCACUUGUGAGUAUGUGUGUGUUUGUACACUGGAUGGUGGUGAGUGUCUGGAAAUGAGAAGAGACUGAGUGGAUUUUCCCCAAAUCCCACAUGCCCUAGGUGCAUGCACUUUUGCCCCAGCCCUCGCCCCCCACCUCCUUGCUUUGCCCAUCAGCCUAUCUGUGUGGCUACUGCCAUUACAGGGCUACAGGGGUAAGAGUGGUGGUCAGUUCCUACCACCUCAAUGUUCCCAGUCCCCCUCCCACUUCCUCCUGGCCAUAUGUCUGAGGCAGUGCUUCAUAGCAUGCAUGAGUCCAGAGUGCUUCCUCUUCUGACCUGCCAACAGCCCCUUCCAUUGGCUUCUCCUUCUUGUGUGGAGAGGUCCACCUUGUCUAUCCUCCAGCUCCUGCCCCCUUGCUUGGGGAUCUAAUCAACUCCCCAGCCCCUGACCCCCCCUCCAGUUUCUGGGACAGCUGGCUGGACAAGCAUGGGUCCACCUCCUUAUGCCAACCUCCCCAGCCGCUGCCCGGGGUAUCUGUCACCCUGUGGUGCUGGCCUGGGGACAUUGGGACUGGAUGAGCUUUCCAGAGGGCACCUGCUGCAUCAUGUCUUCAAGCAGCAUCUUGGUCACAAGCAGCCUUAUCCUGAAGGUCCACCGAGAUGUGACAUGACCCACUGGGGUCCAGGUAUGUCUCCUGCACUCCUCAGUGUGCAGGUAAUGAGAUUCAGAAACUAUUGUUUUCAUGAUGACUAAGAGUACCAUAAUUUGAACUGAUGGCAUCGGAGUUUUUCUGAGAAAGCACUGGGUGACAUGCCAGUGAGGUUUAGCAUGGACAGACAAACUUGGAUGUUGCUGGAAAGUCCUGGCAAGCCAGUCACAAAUCUGUUCAACAGUAUAUUGGAGGGCACUUUAUUGCUUGCUAGCUUUUCUACUUGCAAUGAAAGUUUGGUGGCCAGUUUAAAAGUGCAAAAAUUUGAAAGAAAAGUCAGUAAGAUUUAGUAGAUGGGUGAGAGGCUUAAUAGGUAAAAGUCUUUGCUCUGCAAGCCUGAUGACCUGAGUUCUAUCCCCAUCUCUGCUGAAGGAAAGAGAAGGUUCUCAGGAAAGUUGUCCUCUGACCUCCAUACUGUGUACCCACACUCUCAUAUACACAAUAAUUACUUUUAAGAUAGGCUUGGGGAGGAGGAGCGAUGGCCCUCAGAAUUCCCUAUGGGCAUCUGGGAAGAGAAUCUGCUUACCAGGCCCUGCUCAGGGGCAUAUGCUGUUCCUACCUGGUAGGACACCCAAGCUCAGAAAUUCUCCGAACAUCACACAGGGAUAAUGGUCUGUGGUUUUGAAUGGUGGGGUAUCAAGCUGGGCAGGUGGCCCACACUGACCCUCCCUGAGAGAGGUUUCCAGGGUCAGCCUUGUGUCCUGUCUUUUUCCUCUUGCCUGUUCUGUUUUGGGGGGUCUAUCCCAUGCAUGUCUGUCACCAUCAUGACUUUCACCACUUCUAACUGGCACCUGUCAUCAUCCUGGAUGCAGCAUCUCACCUGGCCAGUCCGGCCUCCAUCACCUACCUCACCUCCAUCAUCCUCACUUCUGGGCUCAUUCUGGCCGCCAGGGCCUUGUACAUGGUAGGCUUUCAUUCAUUCGUUUGCACAUUCGGUGAAGGUCUACUGUGUGCCAGGCCCUGUGCCAGGCAUCAUGUAGAUGGACGUUGCCCUUGGGAGUCCACACCUCUGGGAAACACAUGCAAGCCGCUGGAUGGCAAGAGAGCCUGUGUCAAGGCUGCUUGGGGACAGAGGAGCAGGGAGGGGUCAUGAAUACGGAUUCUGCCUAGGUAUUGCCAAAAGAAUCUGCAAAGAGAGGUCUGUGUCCCCUCUUUGUUUCUCAUGGGUGUCCUGUCCCAGAAGUGGUGCCAGGUGCUCAGGCCGUUAGAGCCAAUACCCUCCCAGGUUCCUGUCCCCCAGCAGCCUUGUUUCCUUUCAGUCUGCACCCUUGUCUCUGAGUCAGCACUCUUGCGUGUGUCUGCUUGGUUGGGGGUUUUUCGCUGGGCUAUUACCUAUGCACUUUGCGGCUCCAGGGGGAAUGGGGAUGGCUCUGUCUGCUGUUAUUAAUCUCUGUUCCUUUGCCAUGUGUUAUUAAACAUCUGCUUUGGAAGUUCCUGGGUCUGAGAAACCUGUCAAUUUUCUUAGGAGGGUGGGCUUACAUGUUUUAGAGGUUCCUUUAGGGUUUGGCAUGUACUUAACAUUGGGGUACUGUGUGGUCUUCAGGGGCUGUUCCGGGUUCUCAAGAAUGUACUGUUGGGGUUAAGUUGUGUAUACUUUGCAGGUCAUUUCCUUGAAUGUUUUCUUAGAUUCAUACCUGGAAUUGGGUCGGGCAGGUUGAUGCUGCGGAGCCUAGGGGAUGAGGUGGCCUCCAUGCCUCCUUUCAGCCAGAGCACCGCAGUCACUCAUUCCUCAGCUCUUAAGUCAUACGAACCCCACCAGCGUAUGUCACCCUAAGCCCCCACCUCUCCUCAUACCUGUGUCCCACUCCUCUGCCUGAGUCUCCCAGAAUGAGUCUCCUGAAGAGAAGUCACCCUGUGAAGUUUUCACACUCACAGAUCACAUUCAGUCCCUCCUACCCAUGUGUGAUGCUCAUUCCCCCUGUGUCUGUCACACUCUGUCACCUCCAGGUUACCCUAGGUCCAGUAUCUGGUCACAUAUCACAGGCUUCCUCCUACCAAAAUCAACCCUGCCCCGCCCAGUUAUCACCCGAAUCCCUCUGUCUCAUGCCAAGCCCCCUUUGUAUGUUCGCACUCAUGUAGACUGCUCCUGGGCUACUGUCUUUCCUCCACUUGUGUCACCUGGAGUCCCCCUCCUCAGUUACACGGCCACUGAGUCAUGGAUUCCACAGUCACACAGAGCCCUCGUCAACCUUUCUCCCCUCCCUCCCCUGUCCCAUUGCACGUCUCCUCCACUCUCUUUAAUGUGGUUGAAGCCCACCCCUCAUGUCUUCCUAGAGCACAGCCCACACGCUAACUUUCCUGCUCACAGGUCACCCUGACCUGACGCUCAUGACUAGCAUUAUCCCCCCUUUGGGGUUUCACACCAACCCCCCUGCACUUAGGUCCAGGUAUCACACCCACUUCAUUGUCAUAUGUCAGUCACAUCACCCCUUCUCCACUCAUGUGUCAUGCCACACCCCCUUUCCAUCUAAGACCCCCCUUCUCCUGACACACAGAGUCUUUGCUCCUGUCUCUCCACUCCUGUACUACACGACACCCCCUUUCUCUGUGACACGCUGGACCUUUUUCCUCUCCCCUUCAGUCACCUGUCACGCUCAGUCCCUACCUCCUGCUGGACCCCUCCCCACUCCUCCAGGUAUCAGGGAACCCGCUUUCUAGAAAUGUGUCAUGAAGAGCACGUGUCUCUCCGGACACGUGUCAUGUGUAGCUCUGUGCCUAGCCCGGUGUCCCAGGGAAACUUCUUCUGCCUGUGUGUCACAUACACCUGAACACUGGGCUCCACUCCCAUGUUGCUUUCCUACCUGCUUGUGUUUCCCACAGGAACCUGCCUGCCACCUAGCUAUCAAACUGAUCUCUGUGUGUCUUCUUAAUGUCUUUCCUUGUGUCCCAGGGUUCCUCAUUCCUCCUUUGUGUCGUUCUAAGUCCCUUUCUCACCAGUAACGCUCAGCGCUCCUUACCCUCCCACAGACAGUUGUAUCUCUUUCCCUAGACCCCAGGAUAUGUCAGAACAGAACUUUCUAUACCCGUGUCACACACACAGUCUCUCUCCUACCACCCAUGAAUCAUGAGUGGGGUCAUGAGUCACAGUUGAGUCUCACAUUCAGCUCCACCUUCUACCCUGGGUCGAAGUAAGUUUCUCCUCCAUAUUUUCACCAGGAACAGAGCUGUUUGUCCCAUUAGCCCUAUCCAGUUCAUCUAGAUUUGACCCCUCCCCCAGUUCUCUACCCCCAAGAUCCUUUGUGUUCAUGUAUUCAUGCUGCCAUCACUCUGAGUUUUUCUUCUCUUCCCAUCAUGGGCCGCUCUUAGCCUAGCCCCGCCCACAUAUCCUGUAGCACACCUCUCUCCAUAUAUGUAAUGCUCAGUCUAGCCCCGCCCAUGUGUCCUGUAGAAUACUUCUGUCCAUAUACGUCAUGCUUAGCCUAACCCCACCCAUGUCUCACACAGAACACUGUUUUCCAUCCUGUGUCAUGUCAAGCAUAGACCCAUCUAUGUGUCCUGUAGAAAGCCUCUCCACAUAAUGGGUUUAGCUGAGCCCCACCCAUGUGUCCUAUGAGAGCACCACUCCUCAGCAUGUGUCAUAUUUAGCCCAGUCCUGCCCACAUGUUCUAUAGAGCGCCUCUCCCCGUGGCAGCCGAGCCCCAUCUAUAUGUCCUAUAGAAUGACAUGUUUCAUGUUUAACAUGUGUCAUGUUUCCCGCCUAGCCUCUCCUGGGUGUCCUGUAGUGGACCGCUCCACAACAUGUGUCAGGCUUAGCCUAGCCCCUGACACCUUAGACUUUCCCCCUAGCCCCAUCAGUAUGUCCCAUACACACCUCUUCUGAUGUGUGUCCUUCUUAGCCUAGCCUCAUCCGUAUCUGGCAGAGUUCCUCUCCCGAUCCCGUGUCGUGCUUAACCUGGCCUCACUAGUGCCUUCCAUACCCUCCCAGUGUCCUUCCCUGCUGUGUAGUGUAGUGUCCACCCAUGUGACAUGACACACACCUGCACACCUGUGCAGCGUGCUUCUAACCCCCUCCUAGGUCGUACUGACUUAUUGGUACAGGCAGAACGUCUUUCACCAUGCAGUACAGCUGUCUGCCUCAUGGGGUCCUCAUGCAUGCCACUGUGAGUCUCUUCCCAGCCCAUGCCACCGUCAGUACUCCUUCAGUCAUGUGUUAUACAGAACUGGUGUCACACCAGGUUCUUCCAAAGUUGUCAAAAGAAGUUUGUCCUCUGUGUCACGGGGGACCCCUUGCACCUCGCCUUGCUUAACCCCCAUUCACAUUAGGCCCCUCCGUUACACGCAAGAAUCAGAGCCCCCCUUUCACUCAUAUCGAAUGAGUCCCUGCAAGUGAUGGGCCACAUAGACCACAUGCCUUUAGUGGUCCUGAUGUGUCACAUGGAACUCCUCUCCAUGUUUCGAUGCCCCGCCUCCUCAUGGAACACACCCCUAUUUCAUGGAGCCCACCUCUGCAGGUAUCACACUGAGACCUUCAACCCCUGCCAUGCCUCAUGGGGCUGUGUAACUCACAUGACAUUCAUCUCCUCCAUGUCACAAAGUAACAUAACGUAUACGUGUCUCAUUUAGCACUUUUGUCCCCUGUGUCAUGGACACUUUCCUUUACAAGUGUCGUAUUCAACUUCCCCUUUUUCUGUAUCAAAGAAUCCCUCCUUUAUAUGUGCCUCAUGGAACCCUUCCUCUCUCUCAGGGGUUCUGGAGCCCCUCCUGUAAUGAAGUCAUACUAAGCCCCUCCUCUCUCUUAUGUAUCAUGUCACCCCCUCCCCUAUACAUCAGAUUCCUAUCUUUUUUUUCUCUCAUGCAUUAUGGAUUCCUUCCCCAACAUGAGUCACCGGUCCACUCCUCCCUGCCAUACACCCCUCCCCAAGCCACAUUUAAUCCCUCAACCUCCCCAGUAUGUCAUGGACACCCUCCUGUACAUGCAUCCUGUGCAGACUCAGUCCUCUCCCCCCUUUUCAUGGGCACGUGAAAUCCUGAUCUCUGCUGUGUGUCACGGAGCCCCUCCUGCGUAUGUCCCUCUGAGAUCCUCCUGCCUCUCAGGAGCCAUAUAGACUGCCCCCUUCACGUGUUGCUUACAGAUCUUCUUCCCGUAUGUCAGGAAACUGUGUCCCCUAUGCACCGUGGAGCCCCUCUUGUGUCCCAUGUUCCGUCGACUCUUUCCACCCCCUCCCCUCUCUGCCUCUCUUACCACAACGUCAGGCUGCAUGAACCUGUAACUAUGUACAUGUCACAGGCAGCUCUUCUCUCCCCCUGAGUCACACUGUGUCCCUCUUUGUUUGUGUCACCCUGAACACUCCCUGGACCUGUCUUUUGACCUCCCAUCCUUACUUUCCUUUCACAUGCUUUCCCAAAAAUAUUUGGUAGCAUUAUUCCAUUAUUUAGAAAUAACUGUUGGUUGCUCCUAUGCUGAGACGGGCAGAGUAUGUGGGGAGGUGGGGGCAAGGCUGGCGGUGGGGAAGGUGGGCGUGGAGGUUGACAAAGAACACUCGGACAGGAAAACUGUUUCUUUGUUGUACUUUAUUAAUAUUGAACCUUGAUGCAGAUGUGUCAUUCAAGCUGGACAUGGUGUCACAGGCCUGUCAGUCAUUCCAACACCUGGAAAGCAGAGGCAGGAAUUUGGAGGAUUCAAGGUCACUCUGGGUUAUACAACAAGACCCUGUUUUAAAAACAAACAGGCAAGAAAAAGCAGUUUGUGUUUUUAUUUACGGGCAAGAGAAAGCAGUUUGUGUUUUUACUUAUUUGUAGAAGUGUGUCAUGAAACCUGAUCUGAGAACAUUUCUCUCACCCUCAAAGGAUCCAGGGUGCCCUUAGCUGUGCCUGCAGCUUGUCCCCUUAGUGCCCUGAGCAGCUCUUUAUUCUCACCUUGUCUUUGGGGUCCCGUUGGGGGCUGUACAAGCUCCUGCUGGAUCCCAUGAGUCCCUUCUAGGUCUCCGGAGGUGCCCGCCGGACCCGCACCUGGGAAGGGCUGUGGCUGGGCAGAAUGGACCUCAGCAGCAUACUUGGCACACCUGUGGCAACAGACAUCCUUCCCUCCCUCUUCCCUCCCCACCACCUCCCUCUCCCCUCUCUGCAUCACCUGUAUUGCAUCCAGAAUUCAUAAGAGGUCAGGUCCAACAGUGAGGGUAGAGAGUUCCACGUUGCCUAGGGCUGGCUGCCCCUUGCUGUCCUUUCUCUAACCACUGUCCUACCUGUUAUCUGGCUUGCCUUGCUUCUUUUCAGGAGGAGGAGGAGAAGGAGGAGGGUCUCAUCGUAGUCAGAAGUUGGGGGGUGGGAACGGCGUCAUGCAGGAGUUGAUUGCACAGCCAUUCAGCUCCUAUAUGAUGCCUUUCUUCACCCCCUUCAACCGCGUGUGGCGUCCAGACCCUCCUCUGCGCCUUGGGCUGCACAGGGAUGCGUCUUCAGCUUGCUGUUUCCUGGCAUGCAUUCUCUCUUCUCCCCACAGCUCUCCAAGUUCCUGGAGGGGAAUGCCUGGGGCUGGGCCAUCUCUGAGGUCCUUCUUGGAGGCGGAGGCUAUAUCCCUUGUGGGACAUUCCCUGGGGCUGGGCCAAGGGUCACCCUCUGACUCUGUGGCCAAGGGUAGACAGGUCAGAGGUCGAUCCUAGGCCUACCCUGGGGCUUCUCCCACUGGGAUUCCAGGAGCUGUUCUCUCCUGGAAGCUCUCUGAGGGGACCCAGCUCACAGGACAAAGGGGUGGAUCCCAGAGAGAUGGUGUCUUUGUUUCCAGGAAGUGGGUGGGUGGGGUGGAGCGGGCAGGGCUGAGACAGAGCAGGGCUGAGCCUAACCAGGGCUCCCAGAACAGGGUCUCCUUGAGGGGCCUCUGCCUCUAUCCAGGAUUAUUUUUUUAUGACCAGGAGGCUGAGGUCCCUUACAGGCGGCCUCUUACUAUCUCCUUGAGCCCUUUUGGAGACGUCUCACCUCAUUACUUCAAACUCUGGAUCCCCUAAGGACUGUCGGAAAGCACCUCGUUCCUCUGUGACACCCUGCCCAGACUGGGUGCCCAUAGACACUUCAAUAGCACGAAGAGCAGAUGGCAUAGAGAUCCUUCUUGUGUACCCCAGUAACUCAGGUCAUUGCAUGCAUAUGGGACCCAUCUCCAUCUCCAUGACGCUACCAUUACUAACUUCAUUAACCAGCUAUGGCAGCCAGCCCAGGCACACAGGAAUGCCCUGAAUGGGAAUCUGUGAAAAGAUUUGAGAGUGGGACAAGGAGGACCCGGGCCCCAGCCUUCCCUUUCCCACCCCUUUCCACCGUCACUCUCCUCUCCCUGUUCCCUUCCUUGCCACCCCCACCUCCAUCUUCCUACCUGUGCACCUCGUGUCUCUCGUGGUGUCAGGAUGGUCAUGCUGCUCCCUGAGCUCACAGAGGUCGAUGAAAGUCCGGAUGAAGCUCGCUGUUCACAUCUCAGAUCAUGUCUGAUGGCCAUAACACGUGGUCCCCUGAGCCUAGCGGCAGGGCUCAAGGUGGGUAGGGGCAUUUGGGGGGUAGGUGACGGUUUCUCUGUCACCUUUCCCUUUCUUACUAUGGGGCCAGCCCCGGUUACCCACUCAUGCAGGGAUCUUCUGCCUCUGCUCCAGCCUGGUUAGGAGCUGGUAAAACUCUUGGCUCGGGGUCCUGUGUUGGGACCCCAUUGCCCUUGUAGGAGGGAAUGGCAAACCUUGCCCUGCUGGUGAGUAGCUGGAGAGUGUGCUGGCUCUGGCUCUGGAGUUGCUAUGCUGUCCCGGAGCCCGCAGGGACAUCUUAUAAGGGCAGGACGAAGGCAAGGGAGGGGACAAGCAGGAUGGCCAAGGGAGGGCCUUGUGCUCUUCUUUGUUCCUGAUUGCUGUCAGAACUCUCUGGAUGGGGUCUGAAGCUGGGAGGUGGGGGCACCUCCUCAGUGGGUGGAGUCUGCAGCCAGGGCCUGGUCUCUGGUUUUCACCUUUCCUGUGGUGGAAGUGAUGUCAUCAGCACCUAGCAGGAACUUUCACACCAAUUUCUUUCUUUGCUUUUCUCUUCCCCAGGAGUAAAAAGGUUUGUGUUGUGCUUUUCAAUCUCUCUUUAUAAGUGGCUCCAUGAUAACCUGAUAACCUACUGUUUCAGCGCGUCACUGGUUCUCUUUACAGUCUGGGCUGCCGCCUUCUCCUGUAAAUGGGGACGAAGCCCCUGCUGGGUCGAUUGGCAGGUCAGCGGGCCUUUAUUGGUUCUUCAUAGUUUGUGUAUGUAUGGGCUGUGUGGCCCAGUGCACCCUCCUCUGGGAUCAACAUCAUUGGCAGCCUCUCAGGCCGCUGGCCCACUGAGGAGUUCUGUUUUUCACCAUUUAUCACACUUGCCAUGGAAGGCCUCGUGUCCCCUGGCAGCAGCAGGGAAGGGCCAUCUGUUCAUCCAUUGCUCCCAGAGCAGAAUUUUGUUUUUCAGGCCCAGCUUUGUGGGUACAGGACUGGUGUGUUUCUUCUCCCCAUUCAUUACCCCAGUCCCACCUCAGGGUCAUGGACCCUUCUUAGGAAUGCCAAGCAGAGUGUCAUGGGGGCUAGGGGGUGCUUGAACCAAGGACCCUGACUCAAAACUGACCUCUCCUUACGACGCCCUUUAGGAGCUAGGAAGGCAAGUUAGUAGAAAAGUAGUCAGCCUGCCACUUUGGGCAAGGGACUUCUGUGAGUAGCCUACCAAGGAGAAAAUGGAAUUCUUGGAGCCAAGACUCUGACCUUGACCCAAAGUGUGUCAUUUUGGGGCUACUAUAGAUCGGUAGAUAGAUCUAUGUUGUGAUGUCAGCAGUAUGUGGGGUCUGAGACUCUAGAGAACAUAAAAGCCAGGAGCAAGGCUCCCCAGGCCCUCAGUGACUUCAGCUCUCUGCAGUUUUACGAUUUUCUCAUUAGAUGACACCAGCAAGUCCCUGGAUGGGAUGGAGGGUAGAAACUCUGUGUUGGUUGCUCUCAACUUUGUGAGCCUUUUGAAAUCUUAUAGAAGGCCCCCUAUGUUCUGCAUGGUAGGAGAGGUUGUCCUGUAUUCAGGAGCUUAUUGGAGGCCAUUGGGAACAUUCUUAUGAGCGAGAGGAAAUGCUGAGAUGAGGCUGAACCCCUGACCUUGAGCCUGGGAUCCUGCCCAUGAUCUCAUGGUGGUGCCGUCAGGGGUAGAGUACUUGUUAAAGAAACUAGGCAGCAGCCAUUGCCUCUUUUGGCCCAUAAGGGUACAGUUAUCCUGAUGUGGGCUGGAGAGAGCAUGGAGGGAUAUGAUCUUGGGUCCUCAGAAGUGUUUAUCUGAGAACCAAGCCCAACUCUGCUGCUACAUGUGGGGAUUUCCUUAGAGCCAGAGGAAGUGCUGAGAUGAGGCUGAGCCCCUGACCUUAAACCUGGGAUCUUGCCCAUGAUCUCAUGGUGGUGCCGUCAGGGGUAGAGUACUUGUUAAAGAGACUAGGCAGCAGCCAGUUGCCUCUUUAGGCCCAUAAGGGUACAGUUAUCCCGAUGUGGGCUGGAGAGAUCUUGGGACCUCAGGAGUGUUUCUCUGGGACCCAAGCCCAACUCUGCUGCUACAGGUG
Long non-coding RNA from Meriones unguiculatus (Mongolian gerbil), 36105 nucleotides. RefSeq lists it as uncharacterized. The transcript has 7 exons. NCBI's taxonomy places the organism in Eukaryota, Metazoa, Chordata, Mammalia, Rodentia, Muridae. The record is from RefSeq and is a predicted model, not a curated record.